RNAcentral lists this transfer RNA (73 nucleotides) under Hypnea cervicornis. RNAcentral describes it as "tRNA-Arg". It matches the Rfam family "tRNA". From Rfam's summary of the family: Transfer RNA (tRNA) molecules are approximately 80 nucleotides in length. Their secondary structure includes four short double-helical elements and three loops (D, anti-codon, and T loops). Lineage: Eukaryota; Rhodophyta; Florideophyceae; Gigartinales; Hypneaceae. RNAcentral also lists the same sequence under 1 other name. The record is from RNAcentral.
GCGUUUUUAGUUUAAUGGACAAAACACCAACUUUCUAAUUUGGUUAAUGUGGGUUCGAAUCCCUCAAAACGCA